AGUGAACGCUGGCGGUAGGCCUAACACAUGCAAGUCGAACGGCAGCACAGUAAGAGCUUGCUCUUACGGGUGGCGAGUGGCGGACGGGUGAGGAAUACAUCGGAAUCUACUUUUUCGUGGGGGAUAACGUAGGGAAACUUACGCUAAUACCGCAUACGACCUACGGGUGAAAGCAGGGGAUCUUCGGACCUUGCGCGAUUGAAUGAGCCGAUGUCGGAUUAGCUAGUUGGCGGGGUAAAGGCCCACCAAGGCGACGAUCCGUAGCUGGUCUGAGAGGAUGAUCAGCCACACUGGAACUGAGACACGGUCCAGACUCCUACGGGAGGCAGCAGUGGGGAAUUUUGGACAAUGGGCGCAAGCCUGAUCCAGCCAUGCCGCGUGGGUGAAGAAGGCCUUCGGGUUGUAAAGCCCUUUUGUUGGGAAAGAAAAGCAGCAGGUUAAUACCCCGCUGUUCUGACGGUACCCGAAGAAUAAGCACCGGCUAACUUCGUG
Molecule: ribosomal RNA, 492 nt
Filed under: uncultured bacterium
Lineage: Bacteria
Description: partial 16S ribosomal RNA
Rfam family: Bacterial small subunit ribosomal RNA
Source: RNAcentral